This 468-nucleotide ribosomal RNA is filed under the name uncultured bacterium. RNAcentral describes it as "partial 16S ribosomal RNA". It matches the Rfam family "Bacterial small subunit ribosomal RNA", at positions 28 to 507 of the family's 1533-position model. The record is from RNAcentral.
GACGAACGCUGGCGGCGUGCUUAACACAUGCAAGUCGAACGGAAAGGCCCUGCUUUCGUGGGGUGCUCGAGUGGCGAACGGGUGAGUAACACGUGAGUAACCUGCCCUUCACUUUGGGAUAACUUCACGAAACUGGGGCUACUACCGGAUAGGAGAUCCUGCUGCAUGGUGGGCGUUGGAAAGUCUCGGCGGUUGGGGAUGGACUCGCGGCUUAUCAGCUUGCUGGUGGGGUAGUUGCUUACCAAGGCAUUGACGGAUCGGCGGCAUGAGAGGGUGAACGGGGACAUUGGGACUGAGGGACGGAGCAGACGCCUACGGGAGGCAGCAGUGGGGAAUAUUGCACAAUGGGCGGAAGCGUGAUGCAGCGGCGCCGGGUGCGGGAUGACGGCCUUCGGGGUGUAAACCGCUUUCGCCUGUGACGAAGCGUGAGUGACGGUAAUGGAUGAAGAAGCACCGGCUAACUACGUG